GAUGAACGCUAGCGGCAGGCCUAAUACAUGCAAGUCGAGCGGCAAGUCGAGGAGUAAUCUAAGACCUAGAGCGGCGCACGGGUGCGUAACGCGUAUGCAACCUACCUUAUACUGAGGGAUAGCCCGGAGAAAUCUGGAUUAAUACCUCAUGGCACAUAUUGAAGGCAUCUGAGAUAUGUUAAAGAUUUAUUGGUAUAAGAUGGGCAUGCGUCUGAUUAGCUAGUUGGCGGUGUAACGGACCACCAAGGCGACGAUCAGUAGGGGUUCUGAGAGGAAGGUCCCCCACACUGGCACUGAGAUACGGGCCAGACUCCUACGGGAGGCAGCAGUAGGGAAUAUUGGGCAAUGGUCGGAAGACUGACCCAGCCAUGCCGCGUGCAGGAAGACGGCCCUCUGGGUUGUAAAACUGCUUUUAUAUGGGAAGAAUAGCAUAGAUUCAUCUGUGUAUGACGGUACCAUAUGAAUAAGCACCGG
This 474-nucleotide ribosomal RNA is filed under the name uncultured bacterium. Its description in RNAcentral is "bacterial SSU rRNA". It matches the Rfam family "Bacterial small subunit ribosomal RNA", at positions 28 to 496 of the family's 1533-position model. The record is from RNAcentral.